Molecule: ribosomal RNA, 253 nt
Filed under: uncultured bacterium
Lineage: Bacteria
Description: partial 16S ribosomal RNA
Rfam family: Bacterial small subunit ribosomal RNA
Source: RNAcentral
UACGUAGGGCGCAAGCGUUAUCCGGAAUUAUUGGGCGUAAAGAGCUCGUAGGCGGUUUGUCGCGUCUGCCGUGAAAGUCCGGGGCUCAACUCCGGAUCUGCGGUGGGUACGGGCAGACUAGAGUGAUGUAGGGGAGACUGGAAUUCCUGGUGUAGCGGUGAAAUGCGCAGAUAUCAGGAAGAACACCCGUGGCGAAAGCGGCUCUCUGGGACGGUACUGACGCUGAGACGCGAAAGCGUGGGGAGCGAACAGG